RNAcentral lists this ribosomal RNA (565 nucleotides) under uncultured bacterium. RNAcentral's name for it is "bacterial SSU rRNA". It matches the Rfam family "Bacterial small subunit ribosomal RNA", at positions 240 to 803 of the family's 1533-position model. The record is from RNAcentral.
AUUAGCUUGUUGGUGAGGUAAAAGCUCACCAAGGCAUCGAUGCCUAGGGGUUCUGAGAGGAUGAUCCCCCACACUGGUACAGAGACACGGACCAGACUCCUACGGGAGGCAGCAGUGAGGAAUAUUGGUCAAUGGGCGCAAGCCUGAACCAGCCAUCCCGCGUGAAGGAAGACGGCCUAUGGGUUGUAAACUUCUUUUCUGUCCCAAGAACGGCUCUUACGAGUAAGGGUGUGACGGUAGGACAGGAAUAAGCAUCGGCUAACUCCGUGCCAGCAGCCGCGGUAAUACGGAGGAUGCAAGCGUUAUCCGGAUUCAUUGGGUUUAAAGGGUACGUAGGUGGCCCUGUAAGUCAGUGGUGAAAUCCUGCCGCUUAACGGUAGAACUGCCAUUGAAACUGCAGGGCUUGAGUACAGUUGAGGUAAGCGGAAUGUGUAGUGUAGCGGUGAAAUGCUUAGAUAUUACACAGAACUCCGAUUGCGAAGGCAGCUUACUAAACUGUAACUGACACUGAGGUACGAAAGCGUGGGGAGCGAACAGGAUUAGAUACCCUGGUAGUCCACGCUGU